Molecule: transfer RNA, 72 nt
Organism: Camelus ferus (Wild Bactrian camel)
Lineage: Eukaryota; Metazoa; Chordata; Mammalia; Artiodactyla; Camelidae
Rfam family: tRNA
About the family: Transfer RNA (tRNA) molecules are approximately 80 nucleotides in length. Their secondary structure includes four short double-helical elements and three loops (D, anti-codon, and T loops).
Source: Rfam
GAGGGUAUCACUCAUGGGUAGAGUGCACGUUUAGCAUGUAUAAGGUCCUGGGUUCAAUCCCCAGUACCUCCA